UACGUAGGGGGCUAGCGUUGUCCGGAAUCAUUGGGCGUAAAGAGCGCGUAGGCGGCCAGAUAAGUCCGGUGUGAAAGUCACAGGCUCAACCUGUGAAUGCCGCUGGAAACUGUCUGGCUUGAGUCCGGGAGGGGCGAGUGGAAUUCCUGGUGUAGCGGUGAAAUGCGCAGAUAUCAGGAGGAACACCAAUUGCGAAGGCAGCUCGCUGGGACGUUACUGACGCUGAGACGCGAAAGCGUGGGGAGCAAACAGG
RNAcentral lists this ribosomal RNA (253 nucleotides) under uncultured bacterium. Its description in RNAcentral is "partial 16S ribosomal RNA". It matches the Rfam family "Bacterial small subunit ribosomal RNA", at positions 524 to 776 of the family's 1533-position model. The record is from RNAcentral.